RNAcentral lists this ribosomal RNA (467 nucleotides) under uncultured bacterium. RNAcentral's name for it is "partial 16S ribosomal RNA". It matches the Rfam family "Bacterial small subunit ribosomal RNA", at positions 28 to 507 of the family's 1533-position model. The record is from RNAcentral.
GAUGAACGCUGGCGGCGCGCCUAACACAUGCAAGUCGAACGAUUAAAGCACCUUCGGGUGUGUAUAAAGUGGCGAACGGCUGAGUAACACGUGGGCAACCUGCCCCUUUCAUUGGGAUAGCCACGGGAAACCGUGGAUAAUACCGAAUACUUCGAGACUUCCGCAUGGAAGACUCGAGAAAGCUCCGGCGGAGAGGGAUGGGCCCGCGGCCUGUUAGCUUGUUGGUGGGGUAACGGCCUACUAAGGCAAUGAUGGGUAGCUGGGUUGAGAGACCGACCAGCCAGAUUGGGACUGAGACACGGCCCAGACUCCUACGGGAGGCAGCAGUGGGGAAUCUUGCACAAUGGGCGAAAGCCUGAUGCAGCGACGCCGCGUGCGGGAUGAAGGCCUUCGGGUUGUAAACCGCUUUCAGCAGGGACGAGGCGAAAGUGACGGUACCUGCAGAAGAAGCCCCGGCUAACUACGUG